GUGCUCAUUUUGGCAACACCUAUACUAAAAUUAGAGAUUAGAAUGGCCCCUGGGCAAGGAUGAAACACAAAUUCAAGAAGCAUUCCAUAUUUUU
This 94-nucleotide small nuclear RNA is filed under the name Notamacropus eugenii (tammar wallaby). Lineage: Eukaryota; Metazoa; Chordata; Mammalia; Diprotodontia; Macropodidae. The record is from RNAcentral.